This 356-nucleotide unclassified non-coding RNA is filed under the name soil metagenome. RNAcentral describes it as "partial contains 5.8S ribosomal RNA, internal transcribed spacer 2, and large subunit ribosomal RNA". The stretch from base 1 to 120 matches the Rfam family "5.8S ribosomal RNA", at positions 35 to 154 of the family's 154-position model. The record is from RNAcentral.
GAUGAAGAACGUAGCGAAAUGCGAUAAGUAAUGUGAAUUGCAGAAUUCAGUGAAUCAUCGAAUCUUUGAACGCACAUUGCGCCCGUCAGUAUUCUGGCGGGCAUGCCUGUUCGAGCGUCAUUACGCCCCUCAAGUCCCCUGUGGACUUGGUGUUGGGGAUCGGCGAGGCUGGUUUUCCAGCACAGCCGUCCCUUAAAUUAAUUGGCGGUCUCGCCGUGGCCCUCCUCUGCGCAGUAGUAAAACACUCGCAACAGGAGCCCGGCGCGGUCCACUGCCGUAAAACCCCCCAACUUUUUAUAGUUGACCUCGAAUCAGGUAGGACUACCCGCUGAACUUAAGCAUAUCAAUAAGCGAGG